GCCAUCUCAACCACCUCUGCUAUUGGUCUUAACAACAACAAGGCGGGAAGGGUUUUGGGAUGUGAUCAUUAGAACAGUUUUAAUCAACCACCUCCAAGGUUAUUCUUCAGGGUUGCAUAAAGUAAUUUAUAUUUAAGUUAAAAAAUCCUUUAAAGCAAUUGCAUGUGCUGUAAAGAGCAGGCAUUUUGGAUCUGUAGUCUGGUGUCUGCUGUUACUGUAAACAGCUCUUUUGACGCCCUUGGGUAACGGAAAGUCUGCUAAAUUCAAGACUGAAGGACACCUAAAUGUCACUGACCCCUUUUGUAAGCUUUUGGUGGCCACACCAAAAGCUCAAUCCUGA
Long non-coding RNA from Oreochromis aureus, 340 nucleotides. Lineage: Eukaryota; Metazoa; Chordata; Actinopteri; Cichliformes; Cichlidae. The record is from Ensembl.